Molecule: ribosomal RNA, 656 nt
Filed under: uncultured Gammaproteobacteria bacterium
Lineage: Bacteria; Pseudomonadati; Pseudomonadota; Gammaproteobacteria
Description: bacterial SSU rRNA
Rfam family: Bacterial small subunit ribosomal RNA
Source: RNAcentral
AAACGGUACAGGAUGUGCUUGCACAUCGCUAGACGAGUGGCGGACGGGUGAGUAAUGCUUAGGGAUCUGCCUCUGUGUGGGGGAUAACUAUUGGAAACGAUAGCUAAUACCAGCAUAAUGUUUAAGGACCAAAGGGGGCGUUUGCUCCCGCGCAGAGAGGAACCUAAGUGAGAUUAGCUAGUUGGUAAGGUAAUGGCUUACCAAGGCAACGAUCUCUAGCUGUUCUGAGAGGAAGAUCAGCCACACUGGGACCGAGACACGGCCCAGACUCCUACGGGAGGCAGCAGUGGGGAAUAUUGCACAAUGGGGGGAACCCUGAUGCAGCCAUGCCGCGUGUGUGAAGAAGGCCUUCGGGUUGUAAAGCACUUUCAGUUGUGAGGAAAGGUUAGUAGUUAAUACCUGCUAGCUGUGACGUUAGCAACAGAAGAAGCACCGGCUAACUCCGUGCCAGCAGCCGCGGUAAUACGGAGGGUGCGAGCGUUAAUCGGAAUUACUGGGCGUAAAGCGCACGCAGGCGGUUUGUUAAGCUAGAUGUGAAAGCCCCGAGCUCAACUUGGGAUGGUCAUUUAGAACUGGCAGACUAGAGUCUUGGAGAGGGGAGUGGAAUUUCUACUGUAGCGGGUGAAAUGCGUAGAUAUUAGAAGGAACAUCAGUGG